Pantherophis guttatus is the source of this 1889-nucleotide long non-coding RNA. RefSeq lists it as uncharacterized. NCBI's taxonomy places the organism in Eukaryota, Metazoa, Chordata, Lepidosauria, Squamata, Colubridae. The record is from RefSeq and is a predicted model, not a curated record.
CGUGACAAAACGGAAGCGCAGAUGCGGUGAUCCUGGGAGGACGGAGGAGGUGGGCGGGGUCCUCCAUAGAGAUACAAAAGCAGAAUAUUAGAUAACUUAAAAUUGCGAGUGACACAAGAGGGCAAAAAGGCAGAUGUACUAGGAGUGAUAUCCAACUUCCCCAUUGACUUUGUUUGUUGGAAGCUGAUAGGGGAAUACCGGAAAUUGUGAUCGUGUGAAUGCCACUGGAAGGGAAGGGGGUUGUUUGCAUCAAUUGAAAGUGGCCAAUAGGAAUUGGGCAGAUACCAUCCACUGUCAAGUUAUCUGGUUCAUGGUAACCGAAGCACUCCACAUCAUGCAAAUAGCCCGGAGAACAACUUUAUUUCAAAAGCCCACAACUGGCUGGUUUCCACAGAGGUUGGGGAAUGAAAGAAAGGCUGUUGUGUGAACACAGGCAACAUUCAAAAGGCCACUGACUGAAUAUGCAGUUUAAAUACUGCAUGACUAAGCAAGCAAUCCACAUUCACUUCCUAUCAACUUCCCCUAUGUUAUUCAAUCCACUGAAGGGAAUUUUUUAUCCUUGUACAGUUGCUGCAGGUAGUAUAUAUACACAGUGAACUGAAUGUCUGGAACUUUAUAGGUUAGUAUUCCUGGAGUGUAAAGUGAAUGAGCACAUUCAUGAAAUAUUCAUUCACAUGGUUUUGAAAUGGCAUAAAGCCAUGACUGUCCUGCUUUGGAUCUUAUGCAGAAAAAAACUUCAGAAGGCAUAAAUCCUAGUGUUUAUCUUCAGAAAAUCUGGUUGUGGAUGAGCAUGGUCAAUUGUAUCUGCCCUUUUGUUAUAUCUUUGUAGGAGAAUAUCUAUAGUUACAAUCCAUAAUGAAUAAACUCUUAUUGUGGCCAUGGCCAUAGAUCCCAGAGUUGGGAUAGGAACUUUUUGUUUGGAAAUGAUUUCCUACUAAGGUUCACUAGAGCACAACAAAACAUCAGUAAUGACAUCCUAAGUGGUCUGUUGCUGGGUUAAAUUUGUGUUUCGUUGCUAUAGAAGCCUUUGUUCUCUCUAGCUGAUCCAUAAAUGCAUCUAGAAAUAAUACUAAGUUUUUGUCUUUUAGAAGAGGCCAGGGGGUAGGAAGGAUUAGAUUUAGGCAGGUAUCUCUGGAUUGUUUCAUGAAAUACUGUAGAACAUGUAUCUUCUUGCAUGAAGUGUUGGUAAGUAGAUCCCAUUGCAGGAAAGGGAGCAACCAGAUGCCUGCUGAAUGUCAGCAUAAUUUUCAUCUGUUGCAGACCAAAGGCUGGUGGUAUGGGAAAUGAUGGGGGGGGGGUCACUUUCCUCAAUCCAAAGGAAAGAGUAGGAAAUGCACAAACAAGUCUCAUUCCUGAAGGUGAGGAAUGGAAAAUAAACAAUAGCAAUAGCAAUCUUCGUAAAAGUUCUCUCCUGCAAAGGGCAAGGGAAUAAGGCAUUUAAGAAUGUAUCACAAGUCCUCAUUGCUUUGUGAUGUAUGAUGAAACUGCAGAGAGGGCUCCCCCCACAACAGCCUUCAUGCACGCUUUAAUCUGCUCUUUUGUUUUCAGAUCAAACAAGCUUUGUUAACCUGCCACAAAGGACUACGUAGUCUGAUGUUCCACUGUGAAUAUUCCACUGCAUUCUUUUUUAUGAGUUCACUAAAUGACAGUACUAUUAGAAGGAAAGAGCACCGUAACAGUGUUUCACAAACAAAAAGGUUAUUGCAUUGACCUUGCUUAUUGCUAAAGAAGGGCGCAGUUAUUCACAAGGUUGCUGUUGUGGGGAAAAUAGGAAGAAGGACUAUUGUGCAUGUUUGCUACCUUGAGUUACUUAUAAAAAUAAUCAAGGCAUAAUAUAAAUACAUAAAUGUGGGUCAUUUAAAAACAAUCUGUUAAAGCAACAAUAAACA